UCAAAGAUGAACACGAAGCAGGAAAAUCCCAGCUUCUCCUCACCUGCCAGACUAUGAAAACAAUCCCAUGGGCUGAAGUAUCUGCAGAAUAAACUAGAGUGGGAAAGUUAAUAGCUUACAGCUGAAGUCCUUCUCUUGCAAGAUUCCCAGCUGCUGGAAGUGAGUUUACUAGGGAACGAAGCAGUCAGGGAUCGAAAACUUAUUUUGGAUGCUUGUCAGCUUUCAGAAUAAUACCAAAACGCUGGAGGUCUGCAGCAUCUUUCACCUCAGGAUCUCACCCACCUGGGACGCUUGAUGGGCUCCCUCCAGAAAACAGCUGUCUGCCUCCUGUUCCUGUCCGUUUUCUUUAGUGCCUCCAACAGCACAUUUGCAACCUUCAACUGCAAUGCUGUCAAGAUAGAAUAUAAAAAAACAGCAGUAAUUUCAUGCAUUGGCAACAUGAAGAUUACAAACAUGGUAGUUAAGCGCUGUGAAAGGUGUAAUAAACAGAACUCGUGCUUAGAAACUAUUAUUAACACGUGGAGAGGAAACUAUUCCAGUGAAAAGGGAAGAAUUCGGUUGGUGCUACAACACAACGUUUCUGAAGUGCACAUACAGGAAGUUAAAGCAACUGAUCAAGGAGGUUAUAAAUGGCAUCUUUAUUCUGACAACGGCGAACGCGAUGGAUGUACCAACCUUGAGAUUACAGAUCCAGAAAUUGAGCCUAGCCUCAUCUGGAACGGAAGAAAGCUCGCCUGCCUGUCACCUAUAGGGCAUCGACAAAGGCAGGUCCAUUGGUUCGAUGGCCACGGGAAUAACCUGACAGGCAAUGCAAGCCUGGUAUCUGAGGAAGCAGAAGGUGGCUUAACCAGCCUUACCAGCACUCUCCAUGAGAAACCCUACUUAACUGCCUCCGAGUAUUGCUGCACUGUGCUGUAUGAUGUGCACACCAAGAGAAACAAAACCAAAUGCCUUAGUGCCCACAAAGCAGUCGCCGAUUACCUUCAUUUCACUUCAACCUCAGAUCAGGAAAUUCCGAAGACCAUGAAAGAGCACAUUCCCAUCAUUCUGGUGCUCCUUGUUCUGGUUCUCUGCUGUUUUGCAGCUGUUCUAUACUACAGGCAUCGCCAGCGAGCAACAGCAAAAGGGAAUUUUGCAGACCUAUUAAGGACCCUCCUUCCACUUUUGAGACAAAAUGAAAAAGCAAAAGAAAAUGCACCUAACCAAGAAGUGUGAUGUGUGAAAACAAGAUGCCCCCUCAAUGAAAACGAUGAUCCAGCCUGCACCAAUGCAACUAAAUUUAAGCAAAGCAGUAGAUACAGAAACUCAGUCAUUCAGAACAUACACGCUAAGCAAUCCAACAGUGUGAAGCAACUAGCAUUUUAAAGACUUUUUUUUGUCAGACAUCCUGUUUUGCAGACAAGGGGCUACAUUCUCCUCUCAGUUUCACUGGUGUAACUCAGUGGAAAAUGUGGUCUGAUAAUCUGAGCAGCGUUCUUUCCCUCCCUGAAACACUGAUGCUUUAAGGCCAUAUUUUCACCACUUUUGAUGGAAUCAAAGCUUUGUUUCCUACCUUAAUAGUCAGCCCUUUAGGAUGGGCUAAUAGGGCGGCUACACGUAUGGAGCAUUUUAUCCCCUGCAUUAUGUAGCAUUAUUAACCUGCUGCCAUCAGGACAGAAGCGCAGUGCACGAUCACAAAGACUUUGUGGUGUGAGUGUCAAUCUAAUUCACCAAGCAAAUGCUGUAUUGUGAAGGGACUGUGGAACUGGGAAACAGCCCUUGACUCAGCACCAACUUCAAUUACUUGCAAGAGAUUGAGUCAGGUCAGCAAUGAGCACUGGGUGUGCUGAUACCUCAGUGUCUCAGGCUCUUGCUGUGUAACCAAACCAGCUGGAGCCGGCUCUACUUGUGGGUCCAGCAAACCAUCUGGACAGAAUACAGAGACCAUGUGGAAUUUUCAGCCCCACGUGCAGCAACGUCUUCACAUCCUUGCCUACAUGUGACAAGAGCCCAGAGUCCUGGCAACACUGUCUGCUAGGAUUUAGGAGGAUGGCGUGAUGGGUUCCCUCUAGUGUGCUAAUUGGAACUGGGGUAACACUGAGCCUGCCUGACCCAUCAGCCUGGUAUCCCUUUACACUGUACUGCUGUGACAGGCUCUCAAGCCCCCCUCCAGCACACAUACAGGUAGGGACGCACUCAGCUACAGCUUCACGCAGAUGCUGAGAUCAGCUCUGCAUGGGAAGACUCAGCUAAGAAACUGCUCAGUUACUCAAGGGCACCCCCUCUUUGAAGGGUAAAUCCAAAAUUAUACCAUCUUGCAUUGCACCGGAAACUAUACAGUGUAAGCUCAUGAAAUUCACCCCCUCCCUCAAUGUGGAGGAAGAUAUGCAACAGCUUUCUGCUCCCAGUUAGGAUUUCCACACACUGGUUUUAGACUAAACAAAAACAAGUUUAUUAACUACAAAAGGUAGAUUUUCAAUGAUUAUAAGGGACAGCAAACAGAUCAACGCAGAUUAUCUAGCAAAUAAACAAAAAAUGCAAACUGAGCUUAACAUAUUAGAUAGGUAAGAUAUGAAUUAGCAAAGUUUCAUCCUGUGUGAUAAAUAGGCUGGCAGAUUCUUAAGGCACAAGCUGCCUUGGCUUCACAGCUUGGCUUUCCCAGGUUGUCACACACAGACUAGCAAUCCCUUAGCCUGGGACCAUCACUUCCCACAGUUCAGUUCUUGUUCCUCAGAUGUUUCCAGGUGUGUUAUUGUAGGGAGAGUGAGGUAACAUCAUGCUGUCAUUUCCCCCUUUUAUAUCUUCUUCCCACUUGCUGGAAAGCUCUUUUGUUGUGCCAUAGGUCAAACAGUUCCCAUUGUGUAGUGCUAUCUCUGAGAGGUUUCUAUUGUACACUGUUCCUGGGGUAAUCCUUGCAUGUGUGCAUUUCCUCAAUAAGCCAUUAACAUUGUUUGGCCUUUUUAUUGUUGUGCCUGAAAGGCUGCUGUGGGUGUUUUCAACCUCACAACGUUUCAGGCACACACACAUGGCCAAACUUUAUAACUUCACAUACGAUGAUAGCACAUAGAAUCCAAUGAGAUAUUAAUGUCUAGCAGAUCAAGACUUUUAGAAUGAUACCUCACAAGGCAUACUUUGUACAAAACAUGUCCUAAUUACAUGACAGUGGUCAAUAUGGGGGUACCAGGGUGUGUCAGAGGGAUACACUUCUGUCACCCAUACACACUUUAGAGGUGAAUUUCCCCAUGUGGAGGACCAGUGUGAGGUCUAUGCACCCUGAAGUCUUCAAAAGAGGUCUUCAAUGGGAUUUAAGUGGGGCAGAGGCCUAGGCUGGCCAUCAGCACUGGGGGAUUUCAUACCAUCUGCACAUAAGCUAGUAUUUUCAUAAAGACCAAGGUACCCAGCUCCUCUUGAAUUUCAGUGGAAUCCUGAGCCCCACCCCCUCCCGAAAAUGCAAGCCAAGGAGCGUGUGAGCAUUUGGCCUACGGGUUAAUUUAAAAAAUGAGAAGCUGCCAAAAGGACCCUUCCUCUUCCACAUAGCCAGGAAUAAAGGCAAAAUGAGAUGAGUGCCACAGUCAUUUUUGAAAAUGGAACUUAGCUUUUGUAUCACUCAGCAUUGCAAGUUGUAAGGGAUUUAGAAGGCUAAAUACCUUUAAAAAUCUGGACUUACAUGCACAAAAGAUAGGACUAGGAUUCACCCCACCCUUGAUCAUGUUUUUUGUCCAUUUCUGAACUUUUUCCAGUUCCACUGUAUCCUUUUUGAAAUGGAGUGACAAGAACUAGACACAGUACUGAAGGCAUGAACAUCGUGGAUUUAUAUGAUGGCAUUACGGUAUUUUCUGUCUUAUUGUCUCUCUCUUUCCUAAUAGUUCCUAACAUACUGUUGAGCUUUUUGACCACUGCUGUGCAUUGAACAGAAGUUUUCAGCAAACUAUCCAUGGUGACUCCAAGAUCUCGUUCUUGGGCGAUAACAGCUAACUCCGAACCAGCAUUGUGUUUAUAUAGUUGGGAUUAUUUUUUCCUGUGCCUUACUUUUCACUUAUCAACGUUGAAUUAUGUGUAUUAUUUCAGGCAUACUUAAAUCUACUCUUCUACCAUGAUUACUGAUUCUCUGAAAUAUUGCUCUGCCCAGUGUUCAAAGAGAGGAAAGCGUAGCAAAGCUUGUGAUGAAAUUGCGUGAUAUGCCACAUUCACCAUUAAUUAAAGACUUGUUUAAUCUACCACAUGGUCUUCUGCCCUCACAGUGUCCGCUGUGGAUAAAUUAACUGGGUGAGGGAUUUACAGUAGAGGACACACGGUGAGCUUCAUGGUCCGCAGAGAAAGUGAAAAAUAAUUAUCUUGACUCAGACCCCACUCAAUAUCAACCUGGGUUUGACUGACUGCGAAAAAAUGGAAGCUUCUGAACAGGUUUCGUACCAGACAUGGAAUUUGUGCUGCAGCAGAAUUUCAUUAGCAUUUUAGAGACAGUCCACUAUGACAGUGUGAGCAGCCACAAACCAUGACACAUAUUGUUGAGGAUGAAAAAUGACUCACCUUCCUUGAGGUCUUUGUGCUUUGAACGUCAUUGAUAAGACUACUGUGGCUUAUCUUGACCGAAUUGCAUAUGUCAAAUAUAUAAACACUGAAUUUCAACUGCCACUUUGUUGCCCAGACUCAGUUUUGUGAAAUCCCCUCACAGUCCUCUUUGGACUUACAAAAUUAUUCAAGCUAGUUUUCAUCUGAAAAUUUUGCCACUUCACU
Gopherus flavomarginatus (Mexican gopher tortoise) is the source of this 4716-nucleotide RNA transcript. It is a transcript of the gene named CD276 antigen-like, with no coding region annotated. The transcript is spliced from 8 exons. The record is from RefSeq and is a predicted model, not a curated record. NCBI's taxonomy places the organism in Eukaryota, Metazoa, Chordata, Testudines, Testudinidae.